UGGGCGGGCAGGACACUGCGGGUAGAGGAUUUCGUCAGUGAUUGACGAAUGUCGAUCGAACCACCGGGAGUAGUAAGAUUGUUUUAUCGUUCAAUAAAUUCUGUUGUCAGAGAAAACCAGGUACGUUAGUUAUCUGAAUCUUCCCCUGACCGUUAUUCUUAGACAAGAAAGCCCCGGGCUAAGUUGCGGGCCGGCAGCCGGAGGUAAUAGGUAGGGAGCUAUGUUUUCUUCAUAUUUUUUGGGGAGAAAGGGGAGGGCAGGGUGUUUUUUUUAAGUUUUAAGAGAAAACCSCCCCCGCUCCACCGGGGUGGGUUCUUUGGAAAGUGGGAAACUUGAGUACAGAAGAAGAGAAUUUAAUUUCCAUGUGGAGCGGGUGAAAUGCGUAGAUAUAGGGAGGAACCCCAGGGGCGAAGGGGGUCUUUUUUGUUUGUAACUGACGUGAGGCUAGAAAAGGGGGGGAACAAACAGGAUUAGAUACCCUGGUAGUCCCCCCCGUAAACGAUGAGWAAUAAGUGUUGGGGGGUUUCCCCCCUUUAGGGGCGCAGCAAACACAAUAAACUCUCCCCGGGGGGGGUCCGCCGCAAGGGUAAGACUCAAAAGAAUUGGGGGGGGCCCCCACAAGGGGGGGGAACAUGUUGUUUAAUUUGAAACAACGAGAAACACCUUACCAGGUUUUUACCUCCUUUGACCCCUCGAGAGAGAGAGCUUUCCCUUUGGGGACAAAGUGACAGGUGGUGCAUGGUUGUUGUCAGCUCGUGUCGUGAGAUGUUGGGUUAAGUCCCGCAACGAGCGCAACCCUUAUUUUUAGUUCCCAUCAUUUAGUUGGGCACUUUAGGGAGACUGCCGGGGACAAACCGGAGGAAGGGGGGGAUGACGUCAAAUCAUCAUGCCCCUUAUGACCUGGGCUACCCCCGUGUUCCAAUGGGAAGUACAAGGGGUUGUUAAACCGGGGGGUCUAGCAAAUCCUUUAAAGCUUUUUUCAGUUGGGAUUUCAGGUUGAAAUUUGCCUCCAUGAAGCCGGAAUUCUUAGUAAUCGCGGAUCACCAGGCCCGGGGGAAAACGUUCCCGGGCCUUUCCCCCCCCCCCGGCCCCCCCCGGAGUUUUGAACCCCCGAACUGGGGAGGUAACCUUUAUGGAGCCAGCCGCCUAAAG
RNAcentral lists this ribosomal RNA (1152 nucleotides) under Enterococcus faecalis. Its description in RNAcentral is "partial 16S ribosomal RNA". It matches the Rfam family "Bacterial small subunit ribosomal RNA", at positions 327 to 1462 of the family's 1533-position model. Lineage: Bacteria; Bacillati; Bacillota; Bacilli; Lactobacillales; Enterococcaceae. The record is from RNAcentral.